Molecule: long non-coding RNA, 1432 nt
Filed under: Oreochromis niloticus (Nile tilapia)
Lineage: Eukaryota; Metazoa; Chordata; Actinopteri; Cichliformes; Cichlidae
Description: lncRNA (ENSONIG00000038470.1)
Source: RNAcentral
CCCUCAUCACUCCGCAGUCUGCCCCCCAGCCCACUGAUAGCAACCAUCAUAAUGCCCCACCCAGCUUCCGGCACCUUUCGCUACUCCGGCACAAACCGACACAGCUUUGCGAUCUCGCCAGCAUGCAGAGUCUGAUGUCUUCCCUAUAGAUGGUAUGCUUUUAAAAAAGCUUUAAAGCUGCAUCACAAUGUCAUUGUACUCUUAUCUAAAAAAAACCCCCCAAUUUAUACUCCUGAAUGUCAUCUUGUUGUGAUUUUUUUUUUCUGUAGAUUCCAGAGACUCUGUGAGGCCACUAUUACAAGGCAAGUUUGAAAAUCUUGGAAUUUCACAGUUUACAUGGUAUAACAAAUAUAUGUGACAGGCAAAAACUAGUAAACACUUUUAGCAGUUACAAGAACUAACAAAUGAAUAUCCAACAAAAGGGAAUAGAAAUACAUUGUACUGCCAAUACUUUGGUUUAUUCUUUGUAUGACUUGAAAAUCAGGCUUUAGGGAAAACUAAAUGACAUGUUUCUAUCAUCAAUUACAUGAAGUAAACACACAAGCACUUGCAUACACAUUUAAGACAUGAGACACGCUAAUUCCAUCUCAUAAAAUGUGUCUAUAGGUGAGACGCUUUGCGUUGAUUGGUGCUGCUGGACCACACUGGAGGUGCGAGUCCGCCGUGUAAUGGUUUAUGCCAUUACAAACGAGCUGGCCUCUGUACUCAACUGGGCAGGGGAAAAAAACCAAGGACCAGACAAAGCAAAAAAGGGCAUUUAAAGAGACAGCGCUGUGCAGAUGCAUAUUUGAUGGCCUGGCGCAGCAGGUAGGGGCGAACUCUAUGUCUGAGUUGGUCUUUGCUCAAGCAGUCCAGAAAUGGCUCAGAUAUGCUCCAGAUCGUACGGGUGGCGCGCAGGACGCACAUCAUCCAUCCCCAUCCCGGAGUAAAUAAUAAAAAGUGACGUGAAACAUAGAAAUGUAAAUAGGAAACUUUGUCUUUUAAUAAAGUAUUUUGCAAAUGAUAAAUGUCUAUUGACCUUUUUUGUUUUUUUUCAAUAAAAAGCAACUGUGCGAAAGAGGUGGAAAAUCAAUACCAUAGCUCAACAGUGUUUCAAUAUCAGAAUCUGACAUUGUUUCAAUGUCAACAGUGUUAGAAAAUCUAACGUCGAAUCAAUGUCAGGUUUCAACAUUGAUUCAACAUCAAAACCUGACGUUGUUUCAACGUUAAAAAUGGGUGCAAGAGUGAUGUUGGGUCAACGUCACACUUCAACGUUGCUUCAAUGACGUCGCCUGAUAUUGACUCAACAUUGUUUCAAUGUUUCCUUGCUAUCUGGGUAGUGUUAAAAUACCCAUUUAAUGUCAUAAUUGCAGUGUCAUUGGGGGUAGUAGUGUUCUUCUUCUAUCCCAGUCAGCUGUUAUAACUGCACAGUUACAGUGUUAUUAAUGCAGUA